CGGGUGAGUAACACGUGGAUAACCUACCUAUAAGACUGGGAUAACUUCGGGAAACCGGAGCUAAUACUGAUAAUAUAUUGAACCGCAUGGUUCAAUAGUGAAAGACGGUUUUGCUGUCACUUAUAGAUGGAUCCGCGCCGCAUUAGCUAGUUGGUAAGGUAACGGCUUACCAAGGCAACGAUGCGUAGCCGACCUGAGAGGGUGAUCGGCCACACUGGAACUGAGACACGGUCCAGACUCCUACGGGAGGCAGCAGCU
RNAcentral lists this ribosomal RNA (258 nucleotides) under uncultured Staphylococcus sp. RNAcentral's name for it is "partial 16S ribosomal RNA". It matches the Rfam family "Bacterial small subunit ribosomal RNA", at positions 103 to 355 of the family's 1533-position model. Lineage: Bacteria; Bacillati; Bacillota; Bacilli; Caryophanales; Staphylococcaceae. The record is from RNAcentral.